CAAAAGUGAAAGACGGUCUUGCUGUCACUUAUAGAUGGAUCCGCGCUGCAUUAGCUAGUUGGUAAGGUAACGGCUUACCAAGGCAACGAUGCAUAGCCGACCUGAGAGGGUGAUCGGCCACACUGGAACUGAGACACGGUCCAGACUCCUACGGGAGGCAGCAGUAGGGAAUCUUCCGCAAUGGGCGAAAGCCUGACGGAGCAACGCCGCGUGAGUGAUGAAGGUCUUCGGAUCGUAAAACUCUGUUAUUAGGGAAGAACAUAUGUGUAAGUAACUGUGCACAUCUUGACGGUACCUAAUCAGAAAGCCACGGCUAACUACGUGCCAGCAGCCGCGGUAAUACGUAGGUGGCAAGCGUUAUCCGGAAUUAUUGGGCGUAAAGCGCGCGUAGGCGGUUUUUUAAGUCUGAUGUGAAAGCCCACGGCUCAACCGUGGAGGGUCAUUGGAAACUGGAAAACUUGAGUGCAGAAGAGGAAAGUGGAAUUCCAUGUGUAGCGGUGAAAUGCGCAGAGAUAUGGAGGAACACCAGUGGCGAAGGCGACUUUCUGGUCUGUAACUGACGCUGAUGUGCGAAAGCGUGGGGAUCAAACAGGAUUAGAUACCCUGGUAGUCCACGCCGUAAACGAUGAGUGCUAAGUGUUAGGGGGUUUCCGCCCCUUAGUGCUGCAGCUAACGCAUUAAGCACUCCGCCUGGGGAGUACGACCGCAAGGUUGAAACUCAAAGGAAUUGACGGGGACCCGCACAAGCGGUGGAGCAUGUGGUUUAAUUCGAAGCAACGCGAAGAACCUUACCAAAUCUUGACAUCCUUUGACAACUCUAGAGAUAGAGCNUUCCCCUUCGGGGGACAAAGUGACAGGUGGUGCAUGGUUGUCGUCAGCUCGUGUCGUGAGAUGUUGGGUUAAGUCCCGCAACGAGCGCAACCCUUAAGCUUAGUUGCCAUCAUUAAGUUGGGCACUCUAAGUUGACUGCCGGUGACAAACCGGAGGAAGGUGGGGAUGACGUCAAAUCAUCAUGCCCCUUAUGAUUUGGGCUACACACGUGCUACAAUGGACAAUACAAAGGGCAGCGAAACCGCGAGGUCAAGCAAAUCCCAUAAAGUUGUUCUCAGUUCGGAUUGUAGUCUGCAACUCGACUACAUGAAGCUGGAAUCGCUAGUAAUCGUAGAUCAGCAUGCUACGGUGAAUACGUUCCCGGGUCUUGUACACACCGCCCGUCACACCACGAGAGUUUGUAACACCCGAAGCCGGUGGAGUAACCUUUUAGGAGCUAGCCGUCGAAGGUGGGACAAAUGAUUGGGGUGAAGUCGUAACAAGGUAGCCGUAUCGGAAGGUGCGGCUGGAUCACCU
This 1347-nucleotide ribosomal RNA is filed under the name Staphylococcus aureus. RNAcentral's name for it is "bacterial SSU rRNA". It matches the Rfam family "Bacterial small subunit ribosomal RNA", at positions 195 to 1528 of the family's 1533-position model. The record is from RNAcentral. Lineage: Bacteria; Bacillati; Bacillota; Bacilli; Caryophanales; Staphylococcaceae.